This 490-nucleotide long non-coding RNA is filed under the name Rattus norvegicus (Norway rat). RNAcentral describes it as "long non-coding RNA NONRATT018027". Lineage: Eukaryota; Metazoa; Chordata; Mammalia; Rodentia; Muridae. The record is from RNAcentral.
AGCGUCGUUCCCACACUCGCAACACAUCAAGACACCAUUCCCUUGAAUGAUGCAGAGAUGAGCACAGCCUGCCCCAGGUCCACCCUGGGCCAAGGAGGUAGCUCUCUCUUCCACUCCCAACUAUUCAGCUCUCUUUGGAGGUCCUCUGUCCCCCAUCUCCUGUCAUCCAGGAGAGAGAUGUCCGCGUGGGGACGCAGCCCUGCAGGAGGGACACUCCGAGAUGGGGCCGGGCGUGAGGACCGGCUCCCAAGAAGAGAGGACAGGGCAGCAGCCACACCAGCCGGGUGGCCUAGGCAAAGAGGACGUCGCCCUUCGGCGUCCUCCUCUGUGAGAUGGAUCAGGAGUGGGUUCCGGGUUGCGGGCGCCUCGGUGGCGCGGGGGGUCGGGUCCGUCGCACGGGCGGCGGGGGUGCGCGUGCGCGUGGGACGCGUACGCGGCGCUCACAGCACCAUGGCUGGCAGGUGAUGCGCCGCGGCGGCAGCGGCGGCCG